AAUAGAUACCCGGGUAGUCCAUGCCGUAAACGAUGUCUACUAGCCGUUGGGGUCUUUGAGACUUUAGUGGCGCAGCUAACGCGAUAAGUAGACCGCCUGGGGAGUACGGUCGCAAGACUAAAACUCAAAUGAAUUGACGGGGGCCCGCACAAGCGGUGGAGCAUGUGGUUUAAUUCGAUGCAACGCGAAGAACCUUACCUGGUCUUGACAUAGUAAGAACUUUCCAGAGAUGGAUUGGUGCCUUCGGGAACUUACAUACAGGUGCUGCAUGGCUGUCGUCAGCUCGUGUCGUGAGAUGUUGGGUUAAGUCCCGCAACGAGCGCAACCCUUUUCCUACUUGCCAGCAUUUCGGAUGGGAACUUUAAGGAUACUGCCAGUGACAAACUGGAGGAAGGCGGGGACGACGUCAAGGUCAUCAUGGCCCUUAACGACCAGGGCUACACACGUGCUACAAUGGUCGGUACAAAGGGUUGCUACCUAGCGAUAGGAUGCUAAUCUCAAAAAGCCGAUCGUAGUCCGGAUUGGAGU
Molecule: ribosomal RNA, 528 nt
Filed under: uncultured bacterium
Lineage: Bacteria
Description: bacterial SSU rRNA
Rfam family: Bacterial small subunit ribosomal RNA
Source: RNAcentral